UUCGUAGGGUCCAAGCGUUGUCCGGAUUUAUUGGGCGUAAAGAGCUCGUAGGCGGCUCGGUAAGUCGGAUGUGAAAACUCGGGGCUCAACCCCGAGACGCCAUCCGAUACUGCUGUGGCUUGAGUCUGGUAGGGGAGAUCGGAAUUCCUGGUGUAGCGGUGAAAUGCGCAGAUAUCAGGAGGAACACCGGUGGCGAAGGCGGAUCUCUGGGCCAGUACUGACGCUGAGGAGCGAAAGCGUGGGUAGCAAACAGG
This 254-nucleotide ribosomal RNA is filed under the name uncultured bacterium. Its description in RNAcentral is "partial 16S ribosomal RNA". It matches the Rfam family "Bacterial small subunit ribosomal RNA", at positions 524 to 776 of the family's 1533-position model. The record is from RNAcentral.